GACGAACGCUGGCGGCGUGCCUAAUACAUGCAAGUAGAACGCACAGUUUAUACCGUAGCUUGCUACACCAUAGACUGUGAGUUGCGAACGGGUGAGUAACGCGUAGGUAACCUGCCUGGUAGCGGGGGAUAACUAUUGGAAACGAUAGCUAAUACCGCAUAAUAUUAAUUAUUGCAUGAUAAUUAAUUGAAAGGUGCAAUUGCACCACUACCAGAUGGACCUGCGUUGUAUUAGCUAGUAGGUGAGGUAACGGCUCACCUAGGCGACGAUACAUAGCCGACCUGAGAGGGUGAUCGGCCACACUGGGACUGAGACACGGCCCAGACUCCUACGGGAGGCAGCAGUAGGGAAUCUUCGGCAAUGGACGAAAGUCUGAACGAGCAACGCCGCGGGAGUGAAGAAGGUUUUCGGAUCGUAAAGCUCUGUUGUAAGAGAAGAACGGGUGUGAGAGUGGAAAGUUCACAAUGUGACGGUAUCUUACCAGAAAGGGACGGCUAACUACGUG
Molecule: ribosomal RNA, 505 nt
Filed under: uncultured bacterium
Lineage: Bacteria
Description: partial 16S ribosomal RNA
Rfam family: Bacterial small subunit ribosomal RNA
Source: RNAcentral